This 464-nucleotide ribosomal RNA is filed under the name Vreelandella stevensii. RNAcentral's name for it is "partial 16S ribosomal RNA". It matches the Rfam family "Bacterial small subunit ribosomal RNA", at positions 338 to 795 of the family's 1533-position model. Lineage: Bacteria; Pseudomonadati; Pseudomonadota; Gammaproteobacteria; Oceanospirillales; Halomonadaceae. The record is from RNAcentral.
CCUACGGGAGGCUGCAGUGGGGAAUAUUGGACAAUGGGCGAAAGCCUGAUCCAGCCAUGCCGCGUGUGUGAAGAAGGCCUUCGGGUUGUAAAGCACUUUCAGUGGGGAAGAAAGCCUUGGGGCUAAUACCCUCGAGGAAGGACAUCACCCACAGAAGAAGCACCGGCUAACUCCGUGCCAGCAGCCGCGGUAAUACGGAGGGUGCGAGCGUUAAUCGGAAUUACUGGGCGUAAAGCGCGCGUAGGCGGUCUGAUAAGCCGGUUGUGAAAGCCCCGGGUCAACCUGGGAACGGCAUCCGGAACUGUCAGGCUAGAGUGCAGGAGAGGAAGGUAGAAUUCCCGGUGUAGCGGUGAAAUGCGUAGAGAUCGGGAGGAAUACCAGUGGCGAAGGCGGCCUUCUGGACUGACACUGACGCUGAGGUGCGAAAGCGUGGGUAGCAAACAGGAUUAGAUACCCUGGUAGUC